GCAAUAACUCUAAAAGUCUUUGUCACUGUUUGAAACCACUCAUCAUGCUUCAUUAUUGGGUCCACAAAGCCCUAUGCGAUUGAGUCACAAAACAUAUUGGCAAAAGGAGUACUAUUUUAAACUCUAAUAAAAUUUAUUCACCAAAAAAAAUACUCUAAUAAAAUUUCAAAAAAUCCGUAAACUAAGAAGGUAUUUUAAAUAGCUAUUUUAAAUCUCUAGAUUUGGAUCCUCACCGAUCUUUCU
Molecule: long non-coding RNA, 243 nt
Filed under: Trifolium pratense (red clover)
Lineage: Eukaryota; Viridiplantae; Streptophyta; Magnoliopsida; Fabales; Fabaceae
Description: long non-coding RNA (TPRA_LNC004389)
Source: RNAcentral